AGAGUUUGAUCAUGGCUCAGGAUGAACGCUAGCGGCAGGCUAAACACAUGCAAGUCGAGGGGCAGCACGGGUAGCAAUACCUGGUGGCGACCGGCGCACGGGUGAGUAACGCGUAUGCAACUUACCUACAACAGGGGGAUAAUCCGGGGAAACCUGGUCUAAUAUUCCAUAGCAUUACGUCAUCGCAUGAUGAUGUAAUUAAAGCUUAAAUGUGGUUGUAGAUAGGCAUGCGUGUCAUUAGGUAGUUGGUGAGGUAACGGCUCACCAAGCCCACGAUGACUAGGGGAACUGAGAGGUUGAUCCCCCACACUGGUACUGAGACACGGACCAGACUCCUACGGGAGGCAGCAGUGAGGAAUAUUGGUCAAUGGGCGCAAGCCUGAACCAGCCAUGCCGCGUGCAGGAAGACGGUCCUACGGAUUGUAAACUGCUUUUGUACGGGAGCAAUAAGGACUACGUGUAGUUCGAUGAGAGUACUGUACGAAUAAGCAUCGGCUAACUCCGUGCCAGCAGCCGCGGUAAUACGGAGGAUGCAAGCGUUAUCCGGAUUCAUUGGGUUUAAAGGGUGCGUAG
RNAcentral lists this ribosomal RNA (573 nucleotides) under uncultured Bacteroidota bacterium. RNAcentral's name for it is "bacterial SSU rRNA". It matches the Rfam family "Bacterial small subunit ribosomal RNA", at positions 8 to 574 of the family's 1533-position model. Lineage: Bacteria; Pseudomonadati; Bacteroidota. The record is from RNAcentral.